CCUCAGUAUUUCAUUUUCUCCAUUUGCAAAGUAAGGACAAGAAAAUUGGCUUCAUUUGUAGGUUUACUGAGAGAUUGGAUCUAUUACUGAUUGAAAAUAGAUCGGAAAGCCCAAGUGAGAUGGUGUUACCCCCAUAUAUUUAUUGAUUGAAUGAGUGGACAGUUCUCCACAACACCC
This is a small nucleolar RNA of Homo sapiens (human), 177 nucleotides long. The record is from RefSeq and is marked validated. Lineage: Eukaryota; Metazoa; Chordata; Mammalia; Primates; Hominidae.